Molecule: transfer RNA, 74 nt
Filed under: Gavia pacifica (Pacific loon)
Lineage: Eukaryota; Metazoa; Chordata; Aves; Gaviiformes; Gaviidae
Description: tRNA-Asp
Rfam family: tRNA
About the family: Transfer RNA (tRNA) molecules are approximately 80 nucleotides in length. Their secondary structure includes four short double-helical elements and three loops (D, anti-codon, and T loops).
Source: RNAcentral
GAGACGUUAGUAAACCAACCCAAUUACAUAGCCUUGUCAAGGCUAAAUCACAGGUGAAAACCCUGUACAUCUCG